GAUGAAGGAACGUAGCGAAAUGCGAUAAGUAAUGUGAAUUGCAGAAUUCAGUGAAUCAUCGAAUCUUUGAACGCACAUUGCGCCCUCUGGUAUUCCGGGGGGCAUGCCUGUUCGAGCGUCAUUAUAACCACUCAAGCUCUCGCUUGGUAUUGGGGCUCGCGGUUCCGCGGCCCCUAAAAUCAGUGGCGGUGCCUGUCGGCUCUACGCGUAGUAAUACUCCUCGCGAUUGAGUCCGGUAGGUCUACUUGCCAGCAACCCCCAAUUUUUACAGGUUGACCUCGGAUCAGGUAGGGAUACCCGCUGAACUUAAGCAUAUCAAUAAGCGGAGGA
RNAcentral lists this unclassified non-coding RNA (330 nucleotides) under soil metagenome. Its description in RNAcentral is "partial contains 5.8S ribosomal RNA, internal transcribed spacer 2, and large subunit ribosomal RNA". The stretch from base 1 to 121 matches the Rfam family "5.8S ribosomal RNA", at positions 35 to 154 of the family's 154-position model. The record is from RNAcentral.